This 994-nucleotide unclassified non-coding RNA is filed under the name Hevea brasiliensis (rubber tree). Lineage: Eukaryota; Viridiplantae; Streptophyta; Magnoliopsida; Malpighiales; Euphorbiaceae. The record is from RNAcentral.
UGUGCUGCCAGAAGACCAUAUGCAUUCCCUCUAAUAUCAAACUGUAAGAUGUAAAACACCAGGAAAAGUUAGUCAAAUACACUUGAGAAAAUUUAGUAACACUAAUUUUAAAGAGUUUGGUUAAUUAGUCAUAUCAUUGUUUCCAUCGUUUCUCUAUUUGAACCCAGAACCUUCAGUCUUAACUGCAUUUUGCAAAAAGUAUUAUCAAGGCUACAAAGUCCAAUGCUAACUAUUAAACAAAACAUAAAAUGUUAAAAAGCUGUUGUUUUAGUUAGUGACCCGCUUUGUUUUUUAAGCAUAUCCAAAGAAAUAUGAUACCUGCAAUGAAAUGUUGAAACUAUAUUAAACUAACCUUAAAGCAAUAAAAAAAAAAACCCAUCAAGCUUGUACUCAUGCAUAUGUAGGCCUUAACUCCAAGGUAAAAGAUUCCGUGAAUUUCAAAAUUUAAUCUUUUACCAAGUUAUGAAUCUCUAACAACUUCCUUGAUAACUAUUGAUUUUAAAUGUAAAGUAUUCAUGUAAACGACAUCAAACCACAGCCGACCCAAAAAUGAGUGGAAAGACAGCAAUGGCUAUGUGUCGACAUCAAGACACAAUCGUGUGAUGAAAUCUUGAAAAGAAAUACUUUUUGUCAUACUCUAAUCACUACCUAGUAAUUCUUUUUUACUCUUUUUUCCUAUUGUAAAUGAAAAAGCAAUGAAUCCCAAUUCGACGUGGCUAACACAGAUACAAAGAAUAUAUAUGGGUGGGUGAAGCACCCAAAGAAACUUUACUUUAGUUGUCAACGGUAUGGGAAGAACCUACUUUUAUUGAAAGUAUGUGGACAAAGCAGUACUAGGAAAAAAGGCUGAGCAGAGGCAAACUUUAAAUUUUUCAAGACCCUGCUAGAGGCCAUCUCGCAGCGGUACAUUUCCGGCUGUGUUAUGGACAUCACACAUGGUCACAAAAGUUAAAUGUUUGUGUUGGUACAUUAUCUUUCCCUUUCCAAAAAAAAC